GCAGUCGUACGAUGAUGCCCAGCUUGCUGGGCGGAUUAGUGGCGAACGGGUGAGUAACACGUGAGUAACCUGCCCCUGACUCUGGGAUAAGCGUUGGAAACGACGUCUAAUACUGGAUAUGAUCACCGGCCGCAUGGUCUGGUGGUGGAAAGAUUUUUUGGUUGGGGAUGGACUCGCGGCCUAUCAGCUUGUUGGUGAGGUAAUGGCUCACCAAGGCGACGACGGGUAGCCGGCCUGAGAGGGUGACCGGCCACACUGGGACUGAGACACGGCCCAGACUCCUACGGGAGGCAGCAGUGGGGAAUAUUGCACAAUGGGCGAAAGCCUGAUGCAGCAACGCCGCGUGAGGGAUGACGGCCUUCGGGUUGUAAACCUCUUUUAGUAGGGAAGAAGCGAAAGUGACGGUACCUGCAGAAAAAGCACCGGCUAACUACGUGCCAGCAGCCGCGGUAAUACGUAGGGUGCAAGCGUUGUCCGGAAUUAUUGGGCGUAAAGAGCUCGUAGGCGGUUUGUCGCGUCUGCUGUGAAAUCCCGAGGCUCAACCUCGGGCUUGCAGUGGGUACGGGCAGACUAGAGUGCGGUAGGGGAGAUUGGAAUUCCUGGUGUAGCGGUGGAAUGCGCAGAUAUCAGGAGGAACACCGAUGGCGAAGGCAGAUCUCUGGGCCGUAACUGACGCUGAGGAGCGAAAGCAUGGGGAGCGAACAGGAUUAGAUACCCUGGUAGUCCAUGCCGUAAACGUUGGGCGCUAGAUGUAGGGACCUUUCCACGGUUUCUGUGUCGUAGCUAACGCAUUAAGCGCCCCGCCUGGGGAGUACGGUCGCAAGGCUAAAACUCAAAAGGAAUUGACGGGGGGCCCGCACAAGCGGCGGAGCAUGCGGAUUAAUUCGAUGCAAC
Molecule: ribosomal RNA, 894 nt
Filed under: Curtobacterium sp.
Lineage: Bacteria; Bacillati; Actinomycetota; Actinomycetes; Micrococcales; Microbacteriaceae
Description: bacterial SSU rRNA
Rfam family: Bacterial small subunit ribosomal RNA
Source: RNAcentral